Molecule: long non-coding RNA, 1206 nt
Filed under: Ananas comosus (pineapple)
Lineage: Eukaryota; Viridiplantae; Streptophyta; Magnoliopsida; Poales; Bromeliaceae
Description: long non-coding RNA (ACOM_LNC023518)
Source: RNAcentral
UCGCAUGGAAUAGUAUAUAUUGAUAGAGUAUUUGGUUAUUAAUACUGUAAAAUAAAAUAUGAUAUAAUAUAAAAUAUUUAAAUAAUUUAUUAUACUAGUUGAGUUUGCAAUGGGUUAUGUGGCUUCAUGAGAAUUCAAUAUAGUGAUGUGAUAGUAAUGCCAAAUAAUAUAUACUAUAGAUAUAAUAUAUUUAAAUAAUUUAUUAUACAACCGAAAUUUUAUCUUUAAUGCACAUUUUGGAGUCAGUUUACGAUGACCCGGAUGCGUCCAACAUUUUCAAUAAGCAUGUGGCAGCUGAGUUCGCAAUGGGCUACGUGGCUUCAUGAGAAUUCAAUAUAGUGAUGUGAUGGUAAUGCCGAAUAAUAUAUACUAUAGAUUUGGAGUUGGUUUACAAUGAACCGGAUGCAUCCAACAUUUUUAAGAGGCAUGUGGUAGUACCCCAUUGGUUUAGUUCUCAAUCGGCUACGUGGCUUCAUAAAAGCUCAAUAUAGUGAUGUGAUGGUAUUGCCAAAUAAUAUAUACUAGCGAAGAGACCCGCGCUUUGCAGCGGAUAGAAACCAUAAUAGUAAUUAAUAAUAAUAAAAUAUUAAAUAUUCUCUUGUGUAUCUUAUUUGUACAUCUACCGAAAGUAUCUUCUCACUGUAGGCGGCAGAUAUGAACCCGACGAUGCCUUCUCCGGCGAUGGUGAUAGUGACGGCGACAACGGUCUCUUCAACUACGGUGGAUGAAGGAAUUGGGCGCACAUUAGUGAGAGAGAGAAAGGGAGCGAGGGAAGGAGACAAUGGUGUAUAGCUAAAGAUGAGAGAUAGAGAAUUGAUAAACAAAUCGGAGAUAAAGAAUUGAAAUUCGGCGGAAUGAGAAAAAUGGGCCAUGAUAAAUAAUUGGAGAUAGAGAGGUUAGGAUCGUAGAUAGUAGUAGGACCAUUUAAAUAUAUUAAUUGGAAGUUUGGUAUUACAUUAAUUGAAAGUAUAGUGGAAGGAAGGUAGUGGGACCAUUGAAAUGCACUAAUUGAAAGUUUGAUUAAGGGGACCGUUAAAAUGCAUAUUGAAAAUUUAGUGAUGGAAAGAAAAAGAGUCACAUGCUAGUGGAGGUAAAGAAAAACUUGCCACGUGGCAACAAACAUUGGGAAUUCAUAUAGUUUAAUAGAUUAUUAUUAUUAUAUUAUAUUAUAUAUUAUAUAUAGAUAGAUGGGUAACACAUGUUUAA